GUCAGCAGCCAUGUCACCCUGCAACUCACCACUGCCAGCCCACUGAAGCUCAGCAAGCAUGAGCCUGGUCAGUACCUGGAGGGGAGACCUCCUGCGAAAGCUGAGGCUGCUGCUGGAA
Molecule: ribosomal RNA, 118 nt
Filed under: Lepisosteus oculatus (spotted gar)
Lineage: Eukaryota; Metazoa; Chordata; Actinopteri; Semionotiformes; Lepisosteidae
Source: RNAcentral